Acinonyx jubatus (cheetah) is the source of this 744-nucleotide long non-coding RNA. RefSeq lists it as uncharacterized. NCBI's taxonomy places the organism in Eukaryota, Metazoa, Chordata, Mammalia, Carnivora, Felidae. The transcript is spliced from 3 exons. The record is from RefSeq and is a predicted model, not a curated record.
AGAAGCAUGAGUCAACUGGAGCAGCAGCCCUGUGAGAGAGCAGAUCGCAGGCAACACGGAGGGCCCCGUGGAGUCUGGCAGUCAUGAAUUUAUGGUGGCACCAGUCUGCGAGGUCAUCUGAUCUUCUCAAGCAGAGUUCAGCAGCCCAGGUGUACAAAGAGCUCAGAAACUGUGGCAUGAUCCGAGUGAAAAAGAAAAAUACCAAUCAGAGGGAAGGUGUGGCUUCACUCUUGGCAGAGACAGAGGAUAAUAGCAGGUCACGAAGAGUCUUGGCUUAUACCCUGCGGCAUUCCAGUCUCCAGGUGAGAAAUUAGGGGAACUGUCACGCCAAAUCAGCUGGUCGCCCUUAUGUCAUGGGAUCCGGACCAGGAGAAGAAGGCUGGCCGGGCGGAGUGCAUGUGAUCAGCGUGUGACAGGCCGUGCAUCCAGCCUGCUGAUGGCACCGGCUCUCCUGGCCCAAAUAACCACAAAAAGGAACAGAUUUCAGACAGGCAGUUUUACAGCGUCCCUGUGGUUACUUUGCAACUUCCAGCCACUUCUUUCUCUAGCACUGAACCAAAGAGACACGUAACCAUUAUCAAAAUGUUCUGAAUAUAUAGGUCACUCCGUUUUAGUUAUCUUUAAUCUGAGGUGUAUCGAUUUACCUUUCCACACCAAUCCACUCAAUUUACGUUUAGCUCAAGCUUUCAAAUUAAUUGCAUCCUGAAUUUAAAAAACAAAACAAAACAGUUUAGGGAGGUGAAG